GGCCACUCUCUACUGCUGCAGCAAUGCAUUAUAAAUGCCCUUUUACUAGAAAUAAUGAUGAGAAACCAAACACAUGAGAGGAGAAAAAGACAUCAGCCCAGCACUUAACUACUACAGAUCUAAAAAUCAGCUGAGGCAAACAGCAAGUAUCACCUGAAAUGCACCAGAGGAACACUUCAAAGCAGCAACAGCAGGAAGACAGGCAGACAGGUACAGAGAGGAUAACCCACUCAUCUGACAGAUCUAGAGACUCAGACGUGGAUAUUCUAGGAAAGGUUGGAAGAAAAUACAUUCCGUCUACCAAAGGAAUAGGAUCACAUGUAACAGCUAAUAAAGAGAAGCAGAUCUUUUUCAUCCAA
Molecule: non-coding RNA, 359 nt
Organism: Cyanistes caeruleus (blue tit)
Lineage: Eukaryota; Metazoa; Chordata; Aves; Passeriformes; Paridae
Source: RefSeq, a predicted model, not a curated record